This is a long non-coding RNA of Saccostrea cuccullata (small rock oyster), 1448 nucleotides long. RefSeq lists it as uncharacterized. NCBI's taxonomy places the organism in Eukaryota, Metazoa, Mollusca, Bivalvia, Ostreida, Ostreidae. The record is from RefSeq and is a predicted model, not a curated record. The transcript is spliced from 5 exons.
GUCUAGUCAGCUAGCUACCUAUGCAUUAUUACAUCAUACACUUGUAAAAUUAAAGUUUCAUUUUCACUUUUGUUUCUAAGAAGUGAACUUAGAUUUUCAUAAAAUGUAAGACUAUCUUUUGUUUUUCCUCUCUUAUUCUAUGAUGAUUUUCCCGCUGUGAAGCUUUUCUUGUUUAAAGCUCAAUUUCUCUAUGACCACUGAAGUAAACAUCCUGAUGCAUUCUUGUCAUGUGAAUGUUGAGAGCGUGUUCAUUUUUGAAAUCUCCUUUCUGACAGACAUAUUCCACAGGAUCAGCUGAGAUGUUAUUUCACUGGAUUAUUUUAUGGAUAGGCUUAUUGGGCAUAUAGUUGGAUAUCUCUGGAUCAGCUGAGAUGUUAUUUCACUGGAUUAUUUAAUGGACAGGCUUAUUGGGCAUAUAGUUGGAUAUCUCUGUCAUCAACAUGGAAGAUAUGGUUUGUUCCUAACCAUCUAUAAUCAAUUCUCUAUGAAGUUCAGACUGUCUGCUGUUCCCUUGGAAAUACACAGUUAGUCAACCAACAUAGAAACACACAAACUUGAAGGAUAUUCUAGUGAGGGCUUGUGGAAAUGAUCUAUGUCUACUCUCAGAAUGGUGAAAGACUAUCAGAGUAUGCAAAGACUAACAGAAUAUCCUCUCUUGGAACACUGAAACAAGAAAAUCAAACAGGAGGUGGAUGGAGGAUUUAAGAAGCACAUAGAUAAAUAUGAUUCCCAACCAAUUUAAGUACGAUCAUAGACUGUGGUUUACAGGAUGACAAAGAAAGGACCCAGGAUUGUAUCUUUUACUGUCAGACACUGACUAGGGAUAAGAUGUAGCCAUUUAUCAAACUGAGAUCUAGUCAAAUCAAGUACUGAGAACAUGAUUUUCUGAUAGCAUGAAUUUAUUCUCUCCAACUUCAAAGUAUCUAUAGCUGACUUUUAUUUUUACCAACUCAUAUUGAAGACAGUUGUUAUGUAUGAGAAGUAUACAUUUAAACCUUUUAUUUUUUUCAUCUUAUUUCCAAACCCCCUAGAAAUUACAUAGAUAUUCAGAUGCUAGAUUUGAUGUAAUUAUUACUUUCCUGGAAAUGUAAAUAUAUUUUAUUUGUGUAUAUGUGUGUAUUGUGCCCUAUAAUUAUAUUUAGAAAUUGAAAUAUGAUAAAGGUCCCUUAAUAUCCCACAUCAAGAUGCAGGUGCCCAAUAAUCUGUGAUGCAAUAAUAUCUUGAAUAUUAUUUAUUAUCUCAUACACUUCAUAUGCUUACUACACAUAUCAGGUUAUAGUAAUACACAUAGUUUUAUAGGACAUUUUGUCAAGGUCAAAGCAUGAGAUUAUUGAGAUAACUACCUUUGAAAAUAAUUUGUAACAUACAAACUUCACAUCAUUAGAAAAGAAUGAAUAGGAGAUUUUCUAUAUAUUUUUGGAUAAUUUACUCCUGAGUAAAAGUUAGCC